ACUAAAAUUGGAACGAUACAGAGAAG
This 26-nucleotide non-coding RNA is filed under the name Bombyx mori (domestic silkworm). RNAcentral also lists the same sequence under 10 other names. The record is from RNAcentral. Lineage: Eukaryota; Metazoa; Arthropoda; Insecta; Lepidoptera; Bombycidae.